CCUGACAACUCAUGAAGUGCUUGAUUAUACAAUGAAGAGAGUAAUCAAGUGUGAAAAACACAGGGGAGGUACUACAUUGUACUCCAUAGCACCCCCCAGGGGCAGAACUGGGCAAUACUGCACAACACAGAGGGGAAGAAAAAUAUCACUCAAUAAUGACUGCAAGAAACAAAUUUCUACACAAAGCUGAAGCGCAAAGAAAUAAAUUGUACAUAAAAUGGAAGAAUUCACACAGCCAAAUUUAUUUAAUUCAAUAUAUUUAUAAUUUAUACCGGAUCUUGAGGUUUUAAGGCAUGAAUAAUUUACAUUGACGUACAUUUCCCUGUGACAUAUUUCUGAAAUAUGUGAAGUGCAUAUCUGAAAAUGAUGCUCGGUCAUGAGUCUCCACACCUGCGACAUUAAAAGCUCCUGUAAAAAGUAACAACAAAAAAACCUAGAGAAAAUAAAUUAGGAACUCACAAAAUAAAAUUUCGGUUUAUUGUCGCACAACAAUUUCACACAUACAUCAAACAGGCCACAAUAGAUAGCAAUUUAAUAGACAAGCAAGAAAAGAAAACUCUUUUCUUCAGCCUUGCCAUCUCAUACAAACCAACUACGUAUGGUACAACUGAUGUACAUACACAAAGUACUGGAAUGCUUUGAAUUAAACGGCUUUCGAUUUUUUUUCUUUUUUUCUUUUUUACAAUUUCAGUUGAGCUAACAUGACAUGGUCAGACCACAAGUAAAAUCUAUUUCAUAGAGAGGCUUCAACUUCAAAGCACCGUUUGGUAACCAGAGAUCACUGUCAAAAAUGGCUGACCUCCUAACAAUAUGUACAAAAAUAUAAAAUGUAAAUAAAAAUACAAACAAAUUCUCCUUUAAAGUAUUUUGUAAGAAGGUAGAGCUUUGAAGUCUUGGUUGUUUCUACAAAAUUUGCAGUUAGGUGUGUACACAGAUGCUGAACUCUACUUGAUGAUGACCACAUUUCUGUCUUCCCCCAGAGGACGAGUUAAGGAGAGGAGGGUUGGGAGGAGGUUCAGCAGGACGUCCUCUUUUAAUCGUCUGUCUUCUGCUUCUUAGUCUCAACAUCAUCCUGAAAACGGGGUCACACAGGAUUAGACAUACACUGCACAUGCGUCAGGUUGGGUGAAAACAUAUUUUCAAAAAAAAAAAAAAAAACCUCACUUCAUCAUCAUCAUCAUCCUCAGCUGCCCUCUUCCCUGUUCCGCCCUCAGCCUCGUCUUCCUCUUCAUCUUCGUCACCUGCAUCGUUGUGACAGGUUUAUAAGAUGUCAUUGAACACUUUCUUGCAAAGACACUAUGCAGUUGAGGGUCGAACUUUAAAACAGCAGGAAUAUGACUGAGAGGACCUGAGUCUUGCGGGGAUUCUGCGUGGCUCUGCGUUUGCUCUAGAAACGCGAGUGUAAACUCAGACAAGCCGCGUCAGUGUUGAACAAAUCACGAUAUAUAGGUUAUGUAUAUUAAAGCAUUCCCCCCCCCUUUUGAAAUGAAAUGUCAUCUCAAUCGCCCUGUCUCUGAAGUGCAACAUCUGCACCCCAAAUUUAAC
Long non-coding RNA from Ictalurus punctatus (channel catfish), 1545 nucleotides. Lineage: Eukaryota; Metazoa; Chordata; Actinopteri; Siluriformes; Ictaluridae. The record is from Ensembl.